UGCACCCUGUAGAACCUGAUUAACUGUCUGGCAGGGAAUAUCCACGCUGCUGCAGCAGCAUUUCUGCUGCCUCUGGGUAAAAUGAGAGCUCCCAGGAGCAUUAGCACAUGCUGAGAACAAAUGCUGAUGCUCUGAUCUGCUGGAGCAAAACUUCUCAUCCCUACUCUUCUGCUAAGACCUAGCUGAGUACUGGACCAUUGCAAUGGUCAUCCAGGGUCUGCUGAUGGGCCUCUUGGAGGGCUUUCUUCUCCUUUGUCAGCUUCACAAUGGUCUCAUCCAAAGCUGCCAUCUCCUCGCUCAAGAUGCACAGCUCAAGAUUUUCCACAGUUAGCCUGUCUUUUGCCUCAUUCCCUUUUUUCCUGCAAUUUGUCUGUCUCUGAGAAAAUUAAUAUAAAUUCUUCCCGGCCCCGGAUUCUCCGCUGCCAAAGCCAAGAGAGAAGCAGAGGGUGCGUGGUCAGGCAGGAGGUGCCCUGGCACUGGGCAGCCCCCAGGGACCCAUGCAGGGAGGGUACCUACGUGAUCAGGAUGGACUGGUUCUCACGAUCUGUGAACAAGGCAGAAACACAGUGCUCAAAACUCAAUAAACCACAGAGAAAGAAUGAAACAUAGUCAGUCUUGACAGUGACUUUUCCCGAUUCCCUGCUUGUGAUUGUCCCUUUUACAAAGGACUCCUUUGCAUGUACCACGAAGACAGAUGACUUGGCAUCAAAAGGUUUGUUCUGGGCCUCAAUUCUCUCCUUCUCUGACUUUCGGAGGUAAGGAGCCGCCUCCCCAAAGAUGGCCAUCUCAGCGUCCGAAGACAUGGCUGCACUUUAUGGAGGGGCUUGUCCGCUGAGAACACUGUGGAGGAGGAGAUAUGUUGCUCAAAUUUGCCAGAAAGAAAGCAUUUGUUAGGAGAAGAAAGGAGAAAUUGUGGGGAAAAAAAAAAAUCUUAAUAUUGCUGGUAGUCUUUUGGAAGGAAUUAUGAAUUUUUGCAUUGGUGCAAUUCAAUAUUUAUGGGAAAUGUCAAAAUUAUAUUUUGGGAUAUUAUUUGGCCUUUACUGAAAUCACAUUUAAAUAAUCUUUAGAUACUUAGAAUUCAACUAUUUAGGCACUGUACUAUGGAAUUAAGAACCUCAAAAAUCCUUUCAACUGCUUAAGAACUCUUAAAAUUGUUUGGAAAUAAUCUAAUGCUCUUUUCUCACAAUUGAUAGUUUUUUACAAAGAUCAGAAUGCUAAUACUCCUCUGUCUGAACUGCAUACUGAAAACUCUAGCUUCUUAAUGACUCAGUUUCAGUAUUUAGAACUAUGUUAUAAUUGUAUUAAUAAUACAAUUUUCUCUCAUUUUAUUGACUGCUUGAAUCCAGGCAUAAAUUGUAACAUGACUGUUAAAAGAAGAUUAAUGCUUUUCAAACCACACUGAGAUAGUUCCUUUUCUAGUACUUUCUUUUGUUUUUUAAAAAUUCAUAGAAUCUUAGAGAAAAACAAAUUUAAAAGAUUUAAAGCUCUAUUAAGCAUUUUAAAAAAAGAAAUUUUAAAGCCUGAAUUAAUUUAUCUGAAAUAUAUUUUUCUUUCCCCUGCCCUGAGGAAAAAAAAAUAAACAAUCACUAGGCAGCUUAGGAAAACACUUAAAUAUCUCUUUCUUUAUAAAGUUAAGUACCUUAUAUUUAUAUAACAUUUAAUCUUGUGUUUAUUUGUACUAAAAUGAGAAAAGAUAACAUGAUAUUUCUUUGUUUGUCUCUGGAGGAAUGGCUAGUGGCUUCCAGAGGAGGGGGGUGCUUCUUCCAUUUCUUGUGAGGUAGAGAACAAGCAGAGCAGGGAACAAAGGGCAGCAUUGCCUUUUACAGAGGUGUCAAUCAGAGCUUGGUUUCUUAUAUUACAGCUCUUACUGCUUUAGUGGUUCCAUGGCAAAUUUCAGGCAAAAUAUCACAUUAGAUAUUCUGAGACAAAAUGCUGAAUUUUGCAGUUUUCCCACUGUAUUCUCAGUUCAGUUACACAGCAACAACAGUGAUGGCAAGGCAGUGGAUCUCACUCCCUUUUAGGUGAGUUAAGCUGUAAGUGAAAAAUGUCCCCAUGGGGAUUUUCUGGCCUGCUAUGAGUAGUCAGAGACUUCAAACACAGCUCCUUAAAGAGUGGACCAGAUGACCUUAUGAGAUCCCCUAUAACCUGGAUGGUUCUCUGAUUCAAUAAUACACUUGAAAACCAUACCAACCUUCAGCACCCCACCACCUUAUACUGUGACUGCAGUGGAUUUAAGAAUAUACAGUGAAGCAGUGACCAUUCACUCAGCCAUACACACACCCACCCAAAAGGAUCUGUCUCUGUCCCUAUAAAUUAGAAAAUCAGCAUCUUACCUCUCGUGACACCAGAUGUGUGGCUUCUGGGCUGGCAGCUGAUCAGUGCUGUAAAACAGAAAUGACAGUUCCCAAAUUGCUGCUGAGCAAAAAUCAAGAGUGAAAACAUGCAGGUGCCUUGAAAACAGAUUUGUAAUGGAGUCCCCUCCUGCACAGGAGCACCAGAGGCAGCAGGAAUGUGGUGGCACAUUAGGCUGCCAUCCCCUUCCUGGCAGCCUGCAGACCCCAUCCCUUACCUUGGAGCUUUCUGUGGAGCCAGGGCAGACGUGUUGCAGGGACAUUUUAUACGAUCUCGCCUGCAGAUGCUGCAGAUGCCUCCUCUUUCUUCGGUCAAAAAUAUUUUGGCAAACCCUCUUUGGCUAAGCAUUGUCUGGCAAACUGAACUAAGGGCAUAAUUGUCAUUUGACAUGACUAGAUAUAAUUAGAAAAUUUUGAUGUCUUAGAGGCUAUAUGAAUACAUCUCCUAUAAAUAAUGUGACAGGGGUGUUAAGGAGGGAAUCUGGACUAGUCAAAGCACUUAAAGAACUUGGAUUCAGGACUUAUGGAUUCUAUUGCUGGCUUUCCCACCGACUCACUGCACGACCUGGGAUGGAUUGCUUGGUAUGUCUGUGCUGCAGCUACCCCAGCUGUACAAUGGGAAUGUCAGCUUUUAUCUUCCCCUUGUGAUGGUGUGAAUCUUGUAAGAAAUGCCUUAGAGGAAUACAUUGGGCAAGCCACUAAGGGGGAAGUCAGUAUUAUGAAAAGCAUUUGGCGGAUGUGCUGGUAAGAUUCUGAAAGCAGAGGAACAAUCUCUGUGAUAGUGUGAUAGUGCUGGUGCCUGAAAGUCAUAGACAGGGCAACAUAGUAUAAGGGACAAAGAUUUUGUCACAUAAAUAAGAAGCUAGGGUGUAGCUGAACUACUGGGGAAGGUUUCAGAGAGAGAUGUGAGGUCACUUCUGAUACAUGAAAAGGAGCAUUCCUAUAUUAGUGCAUAUAUACCAAUCUGUACACUUGAAAUUGCAAAAGAAAUGGGAGAUUCUCCAAGAAAGAAUAAUAAGCAUGUGCAUGAAUUUGUGCUAAGGUGAGUAUUGUAAGAUGUGCUGUGAUUUUUGCUAUGUAGAUCAGUGCAGCUUAAAUAUAGAUGUUUCUUUUUUUCUUGAUGGUGUUUUAAUUAAUCAGAAAAUACCCAUAUCCAGGACGGGACCUCAGUUGUUUCUUAUAUUUUUUUUUCCAAGUUUGACCUGUCAAUCUGCACCAUAAACAAAAGAAAUCUUGAGGUAAAGAUUUGGGCUUGUAGAGAUCUGUGCCAUUUGAAUACCCAUACCUCUUUCAACAAGGAACAUGAGGUUUGGUGUUGUUGGCAAACUUGCAGAGGAUGCCCCUGAACCCACUGCUCCUGUUGGCUAAAGAGAUAUUAAACACCUCUGGUUAUGUUUCCCCUUCUACAGUGGCAACUUCACCAGACAGCCACGACUUCUUAAGUAGAAUGGAUAGUGGCUUAGCCAUUUCCUCUGCCAGCUCCCUCAGGAUCUGUGGAUGGAUCUUAUCAGGUCCCAUGGACUUGUGCACCUCUAAGUUCCUUAAGUGGUCUCAAAUCUGAUCUUCUCCUACAGUGGGUGGUUCUUCAUUCUCCCAGUUCCUGACUUUGCCUUCUGCAAAUUAGAUGAUGUGUCUUAAACCCUUGCUGGUUAGCACAGAGGCAAAAAUUGCAUUGAGUACCUCAGCUUUCUCUAGAUCUCAGGAAAUUAGGUGACCCCAUUUCUUACAGAGAGGGCUGAAACUCUCCUGUCUUCCUUUUAUCACCCACAUUCCUACAGAAGCUUUUCUUGCUGCUUUUGAUAUCCCCUUAAUUCGAUCACAGCCUUAGCUUUCCUCUGCUCCUUGUCACUUGGACACUUUCCAAGUGACAAGAAGCAGAGGACAAUUGUCCAAUUGUUACUUGGACAAUUUCUCUAUAUUCUUCCUGGGCUACCUCUGUAGGCUUUCUUUCUGCAUUUGAGUUCAUCCAGGAGCUCCUUGUUCAUCCACGCACACCUGCUGGCAUUUUUGACUGACUUUCUCUUUGCUGGGAUGCUUCACUCCUGAGUUAUCCUUGAAAAGUCCAAAGUCUGCUCUCCUGAAGUCCAGGGUUCUGAGCUUGUUUUGUCCCAUCCUCGCUGUCUCAAGGAUCUCUAACUCCACCAUUUCAUGGUCCCUGCAGUCAAAGCUGACCUUGAGCUUCACAUUCCCCAUCAGCCCCUCCUUGUUGGUGAUAAUAAGGUCCAACACAACCCUCCUCCAGAUUGGCUCCUCCAUCACUUGUAAAAGAAGUUACCAUCACAAGAAAGUCCUGGACCAGUUCAACUGGUUCCAAAGGAGGGCUAAGAACUGGAACACCCCUCCUGUGAAAAAAAACUGAGCUACUUCACAGAAUCAUAGAAUCAUUAUGGUUGGAAAAAGCCUCCAAGAUCACAGAAUCCAACCUUUGACCAAACAGCACCACCGCCCUCACUAAACCACAGCAGUAAUUGCCAUGUCCAGUCAUUGGAGUUGUUCAGCCUGGAGAUGAGAAAGGUUCAAGGACACCUUCUUGAGGCCCUUCAAUACUUAAAGGGGGCUUGUAUAAAAGAGAGCAAAGAAUUUAAAGCACAAGAAGCACUGGUUUUAAGCUGAAAAAAUAUAGAUUUCAGAUAGAUAUAAGGCAGAAAUAUUUUAUGAUGAAUGUGGUGAGACACAGGGAUGGGAUUCCCAGAGAAGUAACAAAUGUGCCACUACUGGAGGCUGGGUUUGUUGGGGGUCUGACCAUUAUCCUUGAGGUCUUCUCUGAGAAGCUGCUGUUGCCUUUCUGUUAAGUCCUGCUCUCAGUGGCAUGUAGCAAGCCUGUCUUAUGCAGUGCUGUCAGGCUGGGACCUAAGGUAGCUUCUCACAUGUGAGUCAGGCUGUGAGAAAGAAUUCCUUCCUUGCUCCCUAAUCUCCUCUCAGUAGUCAGAUGACAUUUUCUCUAGCUGCAAAUCAUUCAAGUUUUAUUUAGUCAAAGGCCAAGUGUGUUUGGUCAGUGUUUCCAGGAGGACACAACUGUCACCUGUGUUAUGUAGCUAUAUAUUAUAUGUUAUUCUGCUAUAUAGCUUUCCACAGCUAUAUAGCAGAACAGACCCAUAUAUAUUCUUUGAGGAAAAAAUUGUGAAGGAAUUCCUGAAGUUAGGGCAGUAAAGGUGAAUGAAAGAUAUGCUCAAUAUGUAAAAUUUCCAAUUUUACAACAGGAAAAAAUACACUACUGUGUACAUUUCAAUAUAACAUCCAUAACUAUGGUAUGCAACAGUCCUACAAAAUCUAAAUGUAAGUAUAUAUGGAUAUUCACCUCUAAUUCUUACUGCUUUAAAACUUUUCUGUGCAUGAGCAACAUAUUCUUUGCCAGUAUAUUUCACAGUCCUAAACUCAGGUGACACCCUCUAUCAUUGUAAACAGAGUUAUAGUGGUUUUCUGUUUUUUCAAAUAUUCUGAAUAUUUUUAUUAUCCUUUUACUGAAUUGUGUUCUCAAAUUCAUAUUAUAGGCAGUUUUUUCCUGAUAUGAUUGUUUUAUAUUGUCCAGAGACUGCAAAAAAAUCAAAAUACAUAAUGAUGAAGAACUUUUGUUUAGUUUAUGGACCCUUACACAAUUUCUACACAUUGAGUGAAAUCAACUUAGAGAGAGUAGUAUCAAUUUAAACCUGAUGAUGUUUAUAUGCACUGAGGCAUAAUGACAAAUUCAGGUAAUUUUCAGUGUGCAGAGAGAAGAAUAGAAUUAUCUAUGCUCUACCAGGGAAGCUGAGGAAAAUGUCUAUGUACUGAACUCCUCUAAAAUAUGAUAAAAUGUAUGUCAUAAAAGAAACUGUCCUGCUGCCUUUUCCAUGAGCCACACAUCCAGUGCAGCACUGACCUGUGUUCUCAAUGUGACCUUCAGGGGAGCCUUUCAGGGCUCUUUUUAGGUUACAGCAACAGCUGAGAAAAGAAGUCGCUGAUUCCCACUGCUGCCAGGACUUAAUGGAAACUCAGCAGGGGAUGGCUGGAGAAUUUAAUUUCUUCUUGUGUGUUCUCUCUGAUAUCAAUGUCUGCUGCUCUUUGCCCACCCUUUGCAGGGUGAUAUAUACCUGAACCCUUUUCCUUGUCCCUCUCAAGUCUCUUUCCAUGUACAAGCACAGAGGGAAAUAACAUCAUGUGCUGCAGUGUUUGCUUCACAAGAUACAGGAUCCAAGGUAGCAGAGAUAUCCCAGCAGGACACAUUAAUAAAACUGAAAUUCUUCAGGUAACUUUUGUCAAGCAUAACUGGGGCAGUACUAUGUGUAUUGAAGAAUGUGGUCUUACAUUUGAAUUAAUUCAGAAAAUUCAGAGUUGAGUGGAGAUUUAGAAGUAUCUUAAUGGUGUUCUGGCAUGCUCAGUCCACCUGAGUAGCAAGGAGAGUCAUAGUUCCAAAGAUGUAUCAUAUGACAGAAACCGUGCCAUCUCAGAGGCAGUGCUGUAAACAUGCUCCUGCAAUGCCAGCAUCUCGCCAGGAAUGGGAAGUUCUAUUUCUUUCAAAAGCAGGUGAUAAUUUAGAGGCAGCUUAACUAAUAGAUUGGGAGGGCUUCAGCCUCGUGUCUGGUAGGAAACAUUCAACUAUCUGAUGAACUCAAGGACCCACUAAACUCCAACAAUCUAUAACUAGAUGUACUUCAUUAUGGAAUGAGAUUUAAAUAAUGAUGGUUUCAAUAUCAGAACAAGGUAACAGCAUAAUUGAAUAGCUGGAACAAAAAGCUGAAUUCAUCUGCCCAGAUUUAUCUUAUCUGACACUGUGUGAUUGAGAGAUGCUAAAGUCAUCAUCAGUUCCCUAUAAGCUUCAACAGAGCAGGAAGACAAAAGGUAUGGGCAGGCAGCAUAAAUAUCUGUUCAUUCUAAGCAUGAUAGAGGGAAAAGGCAUUACUCUGAGUAUUUCUAACUACCACAUAAUUGCAUUGCAAACUACAAGAAAAACUUUCAGUAUAAAAAGACAUUUCAAUGUCUUAGUUGUUUUGGUGGACUGUUAUUAGUCCUUGCAAAUAUGGUCAUCUUGAUCUAACAAAUCCCAGCUGACAGCUCCUGGUGAUACCUCACAGUACAUUUUCUGUUCCAGAGGAAGUCCCUUGAUGACAUUAAAUUUGGUUAGGUGUAAAAAUAAAAAUUAAUACGUUAAAAUAUUUAUUUUUUAAUUUGACUGUUGUCUUCUACCUUCACUUAAAUAAGAAUAUACAAAAGGGACAACUCUUUAGCUGAUAUUUUAGUACACUGCUGUAAAACACCUUGUUCAUUAGAAGAAAGAGCUACAGGCCAAGUGAAAAAUGUUGAGUUAUUGCCAUUUUGACUAAAAAAGCAGCAAGUAUAAAGGAAGAGGAUCUAGAUGAAAAAUGUAGGUGAUUUACAUAUCUUGCUUGAAAAUGUAUUGAUAAAAUCAUUCCAAAAUAGCAUGCUGCCAUGAAUGACUUGGACACAUGUGAGAAGUUUGGUAGAUGGUACAACCAAUGAUAUUUGCACAGAUUUGCAUAAGUCUUCCAAGAGAAGAUUUAUAUAUUAGCCAAGGCUUUGCAGGGACCUAUUCAAUAUUGUCAGUAGUGCUUUGAACUAGGAAAAUACACAAGGACAAUGGAAGAACAGGUAAGAAAUACUGAGGAGUAAUUAGGCUGAAAAAGUUAAACUUAAACAUGGAAACAAUAACCUGAAAACCUCUUAAGUAAUCUUUGACAGAAUACUGGUGUGUUGGUUUUGGGUUUUUUUCCAUCUCGGCUCCUUGUUCACAGGCUAGGAAUUUCAGAAGUAAUCUCAAUGAAUAAUAUAAAGGCAAAUAAACUAAACAUUGCAUUGAAGUUUCAGGGCAAAGUGAGAAAGAAAAAGUAAUUUGGACUAUGUUUACAGAGGUCAAAAAUGGAGAUAAAUGUGAGAAGAACAUCAUGGUAAAUCAGUGGAUAUCCAAAGUUUUUGUGUCAUUGAAACUACCAAUACUGAUAGCACUUCUUAAAUUUCCUGCAGUGAAAUUAGAGAAUCAAUUAUAGAAUGGAUUCAUCUGGAAAGAGCCUGAAAGAACCUUCCACUAUCCCAGGCUGCUCCAGCCCCCUCCAGCCUGGCCUUGGACACUUCCAGGGAUCCAGGGGCAGCCACAGCUUCUCUAAACAACCCGUGCCAGGGCCUGCCCACCCUCACAGGGAAGAAUUUCUCUCUAAUGUCUAAUAUAUAACUCUUUUUCAGUUUAAAUCUGUUACCCCUUGUCCUACUGGGGAAAAGUCCAUUUCAUGCUGCCUUUCCUAGAACACUGCCUCAUGGCAGGGAACCUUUGCAGACAGGGGAAGCCAAUCACUUCUGCUAAUAAAUCAUUAGCACAUUUCUUGUCAAGCUUUUGACCUGUGCCAACAACACAUCUCCUGAGCAGAUUUAAAGGCAUAACUGGACAGCUGGCAUUUUCUGGGACCCUUCCCAAUACAGUCUGCAUCCAGCCUCACCAUGCUUGAUACAGAAAUAGUUUACUUCUAUAAGCACAAACAGUUCCAUGCCAAUUGGCCUAAGUUCCUGGACAUGUUUAAUUUACUAGUGGAGCUGCAGUGUUACUCUGGAAGGGUUUGGAGGAGCAACAGCAGUAUCUGUCCUUGGGAAAGGAAGGACCUGCUGGAAGAAGCAACAACACCUUGAUGAAAAAAGGGAAUUAAAAUCGAUUGUGCCUCUAUUAACUUUCUGCCAAGGCUUCCAUCUCUUCAGGGCUGGGCUCCACUACAGCUGGAUGCAAAACACAGGGGAGUCAAAAGAGAAGAGGCAGAUUGAGGGUAGACUCCAGCUACAGGCUGGAGUUCACACUACAGCUACUGCACAGUAGCGAGGAGGGAACAAGGAUCUGCAGUGCUGACAUUCCCAUGGAAGAGGGAGGAAUUUAUUGUGCUGAAAAUAGAUCCUUCUUGAGAUGAAGACAGGGCAGCUGCCUCACCCUUUGCCAGCUGUUAACCAUGGCUUCCCCUGCCCUGUGUUCUGGGACUGGCUGUUAAUUCAGGAAUUACAGCAAGGCAGCAGAGUCAAGUGGGGAAGCGGUGGCAUGUCACCAUUACUAGUCUGUAUCCCUUUAGGACACCAUCCUGAGCCCCCAUCCACGAUUUUAUCUUGGUACCAUUCAGCUCACAAACUAGAGACUUGACUUGAGUGUGUGGAUUAGGAGAUAGAUGUGGAAAUAACACAUGAUAUGAAAUACCUUGCUGAACACCCUGAGGCUGUGUAAAGUGUUUUCACAGUGUCUCUUGCAGGCAUCUCAUUUGGAAGCUGAGGAUGGGCUGGACAAAUGGGUGGUUGUAACCUUUGAAAAUUGUCUUAACUGUCUCUACUGUUCAAUCAGCAGCUAAUUAGUAGCUGGCUGGCAGUUGAUAAUGAGAGCAAUACCUCCAUGGCUCACAAGGAGUCUUAUCUUUCAAAAUCUUCAUCAAAGCCAUGUGAGUGAGUCACAGAUUGCACCUUUGCAAAUUUGCCAAUAACACUAAGGGAUUGGAGUGACAGAGAUUUAAUCUGACUGCAACUCUGAAUGAAUAGGGUUUGUCAGAUAAAGCUUAUUGCAGGGAACUGAUUUUUUCUCCAUCCGAAGGCCAGUUUUGGUGAUUCAGAUGCAUUCAGACUGUUCUCAGACAUUGCAGAUGCAAUCUCUUGUGCCUAUCCAGGGAUGUAUAACUCCCAGCUCAUUCAGAUUUCCUUUUUGUUGCCCUUGCAUUCAGAUUUCUUCUGCUUAUAGCUAUGGUGGCAAUCCUGUGCCUCAGUGAACAUGGGGAGUCCUGGUGUUUAAUGUGUCAGUGAAACUCUUACCUUUCUAAUGGAAGUUGGAGCCAAGGGAUAAGAAAACAGACUUCAUGGAUAGCCAUGCCCAAUACUUUUCUUGAGCUACUGUAGUCCCAGCUAGACAAGGCAGGGAUUAUUCAUGGUGGUAACCAAGACAAAGCCUUUCCCAGGUGGAAAUUCAAGUUCUAACAAGUAGAGAGCAGAAACCUGUCUUUACAUAUGACACUAUUUCCUCAAAGUAUUAAUAAAUGAAGCCUUUAAAAAGAGCCACAGUAUGAAAGCAGAUGUGUCAAAGACAAGAUAUCUCAGCUGUAUCCUGUAGCCAAGAAAAUAGGAGGUACUGUGAAUAUUUAGGGAAGAUUGUGUCAGCAUAAGGGAAUCAUCCAAAGGGAAUUAAAAAGCUAAAUAAUAGAUGCCUUUUGGCUUGAAAAUGGGGGCACUGGGUUGCCUGCUGGAGCCUUUCCUGUCAGCUGCUGGCUGCUUGUUACCUUAAGCAAAUGAAAAUCACACACAGAAAGAUAAAGUUUUUGAUGAAGCCAUCAGUAGAGCAUGUGGACUGCAGGCCAGAGCUACAAACCACAAACUUACCUCAUGGGGAUGGCAGGAAAAAGCCAGCAGGGAUGUCAGAAUCCAAGAAGUCUAUUUUUCCCCACGUCAUGGGCUGGCCCUCCCUUCACAGGGUUCCACAACUGCCAGAGUUAUCAGGUACUGGCUUUAACCAGCUGCUGCUCUCCCAAGGGAGACAAGUCAUACUGAGGAAGAGGAGACAGAGAUUGCAAACUCUGCAGGUGGAGAAAAGGUCCCUGAGGGAUCCCCAGCAUGUGGGUGUGAGUGGCACUGUUGCAAAUUGCUGGCUCACUUGGUUGUCUGGAUUAUAGGUGGUGAAGGUUUGGUGUAGGUGUAGUCCCGUCCUGCUGAGAAAAUUUCAGGUCAAGAUUUCUUUUCUGAUCUGCAGUGUAGGAGGAUUAAAAAGGCAAUGGGAAGGAAGAACAGAAGAUAAUACCUGUGCUUUAUACUGGACUAGCAACUUGCCAGUUCUUCAGCCUUGAAAUAUAUAUUGGGCAUCAGUAUUCAGUCAGCUCAAGGCUAGCAAAAAGCUCUAAUUAAAGAAACUAAUAGGAAAUCCCAGGGUGAAAGAGCAACAGGAGGUAUGAUGUCACUUUUUUAAUUGGCAGAGUUCUUGCAAUAACUCUUCUGAGAAAUAGGAACACCACAAGCCUCCUGGGAGAAGCCAGUACUACUCAUUAAAUCCCUUGCAUCUAAAGCCAGUCACAGGUGGACCAUGUUAGCUGUGACUGCUGGAAAAUUUGCAUUAUAACAUGAAAACCAGGAUUGUUUAUAGGUUUCUUGACAACUGAGAUGGUAACUUAAUAUUUGAUCCACUGCUGUGUAACACUGCAGUAAAUAAAACAAUCCCCUGUUAGUUCAAAGGUAAGAUGAGAGCACAGCAGCAAAGAGUGACUGAAAAUAAGAGCUGAGUGCAUUAGCAAAAAUCACGUGUUCUGUGGGUUUCCCAAACAGGCACAGUGAUGUGGAUUGUACCAGUGUUGUACUUUGGAAACUGUUAGGGAGCUCUGUAUAAAGUUCUGGUGGCACCUCUGCUGAAAUAUUCUGUGUUAACCCAGCAUUACACAUUCAGAAGUUAAUGACUCAAGGGGAAAAGGGGAGCUUGUGAGACCACAGGGGAGCAAAGAAACUUCCUUGAGGGAGGAGCUUGGAAGAGUUCAACCUAAAGCUCUUGGGUCUUGGCCAGCACCCAAGGGGCACUAGUGAGCCACCCACUUGCUUUCAGGUGCUUUAGAUCCUUACAAAUCCAUCCUACAUCAUGUUGCCUCCCCAAGCUCUGUCUCGUGCACUUUGCAAACUUGACUUGCCAGGUUUGAAACCCCCAUCAGCCUGGAGCCAGAAUCACCAGGCACGGCACGAGCCGCUCUGCCCAGGCAAGGAGAGGCCCCAGCUGGCCCUGACUGCAGCAGCUUUCUGUGCACUCCAUGAACACACAGAGAGCUUUGCCUGCCAGGUGUGUGCUCUGCCCAGAGGCACAAGCAGUGGCUGUGUCUGGCACUGCCUGUGCAAACAGAGGCUGUCCUGGCUGCAGAGCAGCAGCACCUGGGCUCCAGGCUCUCCAUGGCCGCUUGGCAAGGGGGACAUCCCUGCCCUGCUGCUGCCUGCUGGCUUCUUGUGACAGACAUGUCAGGACACAAAGGCCAGCCCAGAGCACUGUCCUGGCAGUGACUCAGCCUUGAUAACAUCUGGCUGAAAAGCACAGGAAUGAUGAGAUAGGCAGAUGUGCUGAGGCUUUAACAUUGUCCCAUUCCUCAAGUGCUCCUGGUUCAGGCACAUCACAGUCCUGCUUUGUUCUGUGUGGGAUCAGGAGUCUAGACCUGGUUUUCCUCUCAUGGAUUUCCCUGGCAGGUUUUUGAAUGAAUGGAAACCUUCAGUAGCCACUGCAUUGGUGGUGAUGAGUUGUGGAGAUUGAUUACAAGAGUUUUGAAGAAUAUGUGACACUAAAUGGUCUCCAAAUGAUGGUUCUUCUCACAGGGGAGGUACUCUUUGGGCCAUGAAUGUUCUCUCCUCUAUUUUCUGCCACACAUGAGCCAUAACCUUUCCAGAUUUAUGAUGUGGACAUCUGCCCUGUCUUGGCCUGAACUAUUCUGUCAGCAAUACAUCCCUAAGGAUCCCAGACCAGUUAUUUUUAUGGAUGGUAGUAUCAUUGCUCCUUGGGGUUGGGUUUCAGAAACAGGGAGAUUGUUUUUCACUGACAUCUUAAAAUUUGAGGGGGAGAUUAGAAUUCUCUAGGGAGUAAGUGUGGCAUUUGUCUCUGUCAGCUGCACAGAGUAUAUAAUCUGUUCCUAUAAAAAGAACACCAAGAUUUAUACAAUUCAGGACAUCAUAAAUUAUGCUAAAAUGUGGGGUCUUCUGAAUUCAGGAAACUGAAAUGUAAAUUAAUGGAAAAAUAAAAGUACACCCACAUUUGCCUGCA
This is a long non-coding RNA of Haemorhous mexicanus (house finch), 13062 nucleotides long. RefSeq lists it as uncharacterized. Lineage: Eukaryota; Metazoa; Chordata; Aves; Passeriformes; Fringillidae. The record is from RefSeq and is a predicted model, not a curated record. The transcript is spliced from 6 exons.